ACUCCUACGGGAGGCAGCAGUGGGGAAUAUUGCACAAUGGGGGGAAAACCCCUGAUGCAGCCAUGCCGCGUGUGUGAAGAAGGCCUUCGGGUUGUAAAGCACUUUCAGUAGGGAGGAAGGUAGUGUAGUUAACACCUGCAUUAUUUGACGUUACCUACAGAAGAAGCACCGGCUAACUCCGUGCCAGCAGCCGCGGUAAUACGGAGGGUGCGAGCGUUAAUCGGAAUUACUGGGCGUAAAGCGCAUGCAGGCGGCCUGUUAAGUCAGAUGUGAAAGCCCGGGGCUUAACCUCGGAAUUGCAUUUGAAACUGGCAGGCUAGUAGUCUUGUAGAGGGGGGUAGAAUUUCAGGUGUAG
Molecule: ribosomal RNA, 355 nt
Filed under: uncultured bacterium
Lineage: Bacteria
Description: bacterial SSU rRNA
Rfam family: Bacterial small subunit ribosomal RNA
Source: RNAcentral